GGUAGAGAGGUAGAGGUAGAGAAAGACAGGGUGAAUAGGUAGAGAGAGGUAGAGAAAGACAGGGUGAAUAGGUAGAGGUAGAGAAAGACAGGGUGAAUAGGUAGAGAGAGGUAGAGAAAGACAUGGUGAAUAGGUAGAGAGAGGUAGAGAAAGACAGGGUGAAUAGGUAGAGAGAGGUAGAGAAAGACAGGGUGAAUAGGUAGAGAGAGGUAGAGAAAGACAGGGUGAAUAGGUAGAGGUAGAGAAAGACAUGGUGAAUAGGUAGAGAGAGGUAGAGAAAGACAGGGUGAAUAGGUAGAGCGAGGUAGAGAAAGACAGGGUGAAUAGGUA
Molecule: long non-coding RNA, 330 nt
Organism: Oncorhynchus keta (chum salmon)
Lineage: Eukaryota; Metazoa; Chordata; Actinopteri; Salmoniformes; Salmonidae
Exons: 3
Source: RefSeq, a predicted model, not a curated record